Molecule: ribosomal RNA, 468 nt
Filed under: uncultured bacterium
Lineage: Bacteria
Description: partial 16S ribosomal RNA
Rfam family: Bacterial small subunit ribosomal RNA
Source: RNAcentral
GACGAACGCUGGCGGCGUGCUUAACACAUGCAAGUCGAACGGAAAGGCCCUGCUUUUGUUGGGUGCUCGAGUGGCGAACGGGUGAGUAACACGUGAGUAACCUGCCCUUGACUUUGGGAUAACUUCAGGGAACUGGGGCUAAUACCGGAUAGGAGCUCCUGCUGCAUGGGGGGGGUUGGAAAGUUUCGGCGGUUGGGGAUGGACUCGCGGCUUAUCAGCUUGUUGGUGGGGUAGUGGCUUACCAAGGCUUUGACGGGUAGCCGGCCUGAGAGGGUGACCGGCCACAUUGGGACUGAGAUACGGCCCAGACUCCUACGGGAGGCAGCAGUGGGGAAUAUUGCACAAUGGGCGGAAGCCUGAUGCAGCAACGCCGCGUGCGGGAUGACGGCCUUCGGGUUGUAAACCGCUUUCGACUGUGACGAAGCGUUAGUGACGGUAAUGGGUCAAGAAGCACCGGCUAACUACGUG